GCGCAGCAGUUGCGAAAACUUGUCAAUGCACGAAAGGGUGACGGGGCUACCCCGAGUGUCGUCCGCUGAGGACGACUUUUCCACGCUGUAAGGAGUCGUGGGAAGAAGGAGAGGGCAAGUCUGGUGUCAGCCGCCGCGGUAAUACCAGCUCUCCGGGUGGUAGGGACGAUUAUUGGGCUUAAAGCGUCCGUAGCCGGCUCAGCAAGUCUCCCGUUAAAUCCAACGAUUCAAUCGUUGGACUGCGGGAGAUACUGUUGAGCUAGGAGGCGGGAGAGGCCGAUGGUAUUCCCGGAGUAGGGGUGAAAUCUUAUAAUUCCGGGAGGACCACCAGUGGCGAAGGCUGUCGGCUAGAACGCGCUCGACGGUGAGGGACGAAAGCUGGGGGAGCGAACCGGAUUAGAUACCCGCGUAGUCC
Molecule: ribosomal RNA, 415 nt
Filed under: uncultured crenarchaeote
Lineage: Archaea; Thermoproteati; Thermoproteota
Description: partial 16S ribosomal RNA
Rfam family: Archaeal small subunit ribosomal RNA
Source: RNAcentral